AGCGGACGCUGGCGGCAGGCUUAACACAUGCAAGUCGAGCGGGCCCUUCGGGGUCAGCGGCAGACGGGUGAGUAACGCGUGGGAACGUACCCUUUGGUUCGGAAUAACCCAGGGAAACUUGAGCUAAUACCGGAUACGCCCUUUUUGGGGAAAGGCUUGCCGCCGAAGGGUCGGCCCGCGUCUGAUUAGCUGGUUGGUGGGGUGAUGGCUCACCAAGGCGACGAUCAGUAGCUGGUCUGAGAGGAUGAUCAGCCACACUGGGACUGAGACACGGCCCAAACUCCUACGGGAGGCAGCAGUGGGGAAUAUUGGACAAUGGGGGCAACCCUGAUCCAGCCAUGCCGCGUGAGUGAUGACGGCCUUAGGGUUGUAAAGCUCUUUUCUCCGGGACGAUAAUGACGGUACCGGAGGAAUAAGCCCCGGCUAACUCCGUGCCAGCCGCCGCCGUAA
RNAcentral lists this ribosomal RNA (450 nucleotides) under uncultured bacterium. Its description in RNAcentral is "partial 16S ribosomal RNA". It matches the Rfam family "Bacterial small subunit ribosomal RNA", at positions 29 to 523 of the family's 1533-position model. The record is from RNAcentral.